This 1358-nucleotide long non-coding RNA is filed under the name Bemisia tabaci. RNAcentral describes it as "lncRNA ENSSSA2NGG006231". The record is from RNAcentral. Lineage: Eukaryota; Metazoa; Arthropoda; Insecta; Hemiptera; Aleyrodidae.
GUAGCUGUUAUUUCGUAUUGUUGCUUAUACUAUUCGCAGUAACUUAUCCAGGUCCGUGACGGAACCGUCAUGAAGUGAGUUACUAACAAUGUUGUCAAUUCGCCAUUGGCGGUAAAUUAUCCGUAAGUCAGUCAUGUUCUCCGAGUAGCGUAUCAACCUCAACUUCUUUUCCUUUAUCGUUGUUGUGGUGUUCAUAGUUGUUUGCAGUGAGUCGUCAACGGCCCCGUCCAGUCCUUUUUCCUUAGCCUUUUUUUCAUAUGUUGAUCAGCUCUGAUUGGCAAAUCAGAGAAUUAAGCCGCGUUACGGCAAACCCGAUCCAGUUCACUGGGUCACUAGUGCAUAGUAAAUGUGUGUCAAAUCAUUCACGGGCAUUGACCCUCAGACUGCGACCGGCGACCACUCAUCGCACCUAUGUUCUUAUCCUCCCUUUGUUGAGGGUUGUAUUUCAUUUUCAUGUGUUACCCGGAGUGUAGUAGAAGCUUGAAUUCUGUCAAGCGGCUGAUGUUCCCGUGAAAAUCUGCGGAUGUUGAUUCUGGUUUUUCCCAUGUCGCGUAUUAAGGCAGGGGCACCCCCCUCGGUCUCCCCCAAAUUCCCCCUCUCUUCCCUUCCUUUCUUCAAGUUAAAGCUACCGGCCUUAUUUCCCCCAAUUCGAAACUGUUUAGGCUUCUUUUGAUUGUACCGUCUUUUGCAAUCAGUUCCCCCCUCCCCCCUUGUCGUCAGAGAGUGUGACGUCACUUUGCGGAUUUUGGAGAGAGAUUUGUCUUCACUUGGAUCUUUGAAUUGCGGCGGACUGUAUUUGAGCCGUAUUCUUCUUGUCUCUAGGCAAAGGAUUGCCCAACGUUCUUCGGUCUCAAUACUUAUCAUUCACGCCCAGGUACCCUAACCAAAUUCAGGAUUAUCCAUGUUCACCUGUUUCAUGUUCCAGUUUUCUCUCUUCUGCUCGCUCUCUCGACAAUUAGAAGCCUUCUUUCACAUGUGUUCUCAUUUUUUUUUUAUGGUUUCUGUCCCCCAUUUAAAGGGCCAGUGGUCCCUCGUGUCAUCAUCCUCCUAUUCUAUCACUAUUAUUUUCAAACUUCCCGCUCCUGUGUUCCGUUCAUGUAAGACCUUCGGGGAAGGCAUUCGGUGCCCGCGCCAUGUUCGUUUGCGCCUGUGUGACGUAUCUCGAUUUCUUCCGUAUACUAUCCUUCCUACCCAUUUACAGUCCAUCUGCUAUUUCAGGCGUUUCUCGGCUUCGGCGCGUCCACACAUGACUGAGAACAACUGAUGAUAAACUGACUGCUUGCUGCUGUAAGAUUGGACUAGUUGAGCUUGUUAAAAGCUGAUUAUCCUGGACUUUAGUAACUAUCAGGACUAUUAGA